This 24-nucleotide non-coding RNA is filed under the name Mus musculus (house mouse). The record is from RNAcentral. Lineage: Eukaryota; Metazoa; Chordata; Mammalia; Rodentia; Muridae.
GAGAGAGAUGCAGAGAGGGAGAGA